CCCUUAGAUGUCCGGGGCCGCACGCGCGCUACACUGAAGGAAUCAGCGUGGCUUUCUCCCUGACCCGAAAGGGUUGGGAAACCCGUUGAAUCUCCCUCGUGAUAGGGAUUGGGGCUUGAAAUUGUUCCCCAUGAACGAGGAAUUCCCAGUAAGCGCGAGUCAUAAGCUCGCGUUGAUUACGUCCCUGCCCUUUGUACACACCGCCCGUCGCUACUACCGAUUGAACGGUUUAGUGAGGGCCUCGGAUUGGUCUCGGCCCGCUCUUUACCGGGCGGCGCCGUUGGUCGAGAAGACGCUCGAACUUGAUCGUUUAGAGGAAGUAAAAGUCGUAACA
This 334-nucleotide ribosomal RNA is filed under the name uncultured eukaryote. Its description in RNAcentral is "partial 18S ribosomal RNA". It matches the Rfam family "Eukaryotic small subunit ribosomal RNA", at positions 1470 to 1796 of the family's 1831-position model. The record is from RNAcentral.